GUGGGGAAUAUUGCACAAUGGGCGGAAGCCUGAUGCAGCAACGCCGCGUGCGGGAUGACGGCCUUCGGGUUGUAAACCGCUUUCAGCAGGGACGAAGCGUGAGUGACGGUACCUGCAGAAGAAGCACCGGCUAACUACGUGCCAGCAGCCGCGGUGAUACGUAGGGUGCGAGCGUUGUCCGGAUUUAUUGGGCGUAAAGAGCUUGUAGGCGGUUGGUUGCGUCGAAAGUGCAAACUCAGGGCUUAACUCUGAGCCUGCUUUCGAUAAGGGCUGACUGGAGGAAGGUAGGGGAGAAUGGAAUUCCCGGUGGAGCGGUGGAAUGCGCAGAUAUCGGGAGGAACACCAGUGGCGAAGGCGGUUCUCUGGACCUUUCCUGACGCUGAGAAGCGAAAGCGUGGGGAGCAAACAGGCUUAGAUACCCGGGUAGUCC
This 430-nucleotide ribosomal RNA is filed under the name uncultured bacterium. Its description in RNAcentral is "partial 16S ribosomal RNA". It matches the Rfam family "Bacterial small subunit ribosomal RNA", at positions 354 to 796 of the family's 1533-position model. The record is from RNAcentral.